Molecule: non-coding RNA, 392 nt
Organism: Paramuricea clavata
Lineage: Eukaryota; Metazoa; Cnidaria; Anthozoa; Malacalcyonacea; Plexauridae
Source: the annotation of a GenBank genome assembly
CUCCAAACUUAUUGCGUAUAUAUUUUGCGCAGUUGAUGUUCCAAAGUGGUUUCGCGAAAUGCUCCUGGUAUUGCUAGGUUUCUCUAUAAGCACUUUCGUGUGGCAGAUGGUCGAUUAUAGAACGUGUUGACACUUAUAUGUGGGCAAGAAAAUUUUAACUAAACUCAAACCAUUUAUAUGGCCUCAAAUACUUUACUACUUAAUUAAUAUGGAAAGCAUUGAUACGUUAUUUUCUCACCCCAUUAGUCCCAAUGCUGUUGCAAUUGUUGACACCCAUCCGAUGCUAUAGCGCUUUUAAAACAGUUUCAUGACGCAUUUAUUUCCUGGGCAGAUUUUACUAUUUUAUUAACACGCUAUACGAAGUAACAGAUGCUGGUCAAGCUACUGAGUUA